UCCUACGGGGGGCAGCAGUGAGGAAUAUUGGUCAAUGGGCGCGAGCCUGAACCAGCCAAGUCGCGUGAGGGAAGACGGUCCUAUGGAUUGUAAACCUCUUUUGUCGGGGAGCAAAAGACGCCACGUGUGGCGUUCCGAGAGUACCCGAAGAAAAAGCAUCGGCUAACUCCGUGCCAGCAGCCGCGGUAAUACGGAGGAUGCGAGCGUUAUCCGGAUUUAUUGGGUUUAAAGGGUGCGCAGGCGGAAGAUCAAGUCAGCGGUAAAAUUGAGAGGCUCAACCUCUCCGAGCCGUUGAAACUGGUUUU
This 305-nucleotide ribosomal RNA is filed under the name uncultured bacterium. Its description in RNAcentral is "bacterial SSU rRNA". It matches the Rfam family "Bacterial small subunit ribosomal RNA", at positions 337 to 640 of the family's 1533-position model. The record is from RNAcentral.